CCCGUCUCCCUGGGAUUUUCCCGGUGGGAUUGAUUUUCCAUGAGGAAUGAUUUCCGUGUGGGAUGAUUCCCAGUGGGAUUUAUUUCCCCGUGGGAUGAUUGAUUGGUUGGUUUCCUGUGGGAUGAUUGAUUGAUUGAUUGAUUGGUUGGUUUCCUGUGGGAUGAUUGAUUGAUGGAUGGAUUGAUUGAUUUCCUGUGGGAUGAUUGAUUGAUUGAUUGAUUGAUUUCCUGUGGGAUGAUUGAUUGAUUGAUUGAUUGAUUGAUUUCGAUUGAUUGAUUGAUUGAUUUCCUGUGGGAUGAUUGAUUGAUUGAUUGAUUGAUUGAUUUCCUGUGGGAUGAUUGAUUGAUUCCCUGUGGGAUGAUUGAUUGAUUUCCUGUGGAAUGAUUGAUUUCCUGUGGGAUGAUUGAUUGAUUUCCUGUGGGAUGAUUGAUUGAUUGAUUUCCUGUGGGAUGAUUGAUUGAUUGAUUUCCUGUGGGAUGAUUGAUUUUCUGUGGGAUGAUUGAUUGAUUUCGUGUGGGAUGAUUGAUUGAUUUCCUGUGGGAUGAUUGAUGGAUUGAUGGAUUGAUUGAUUGAUUUCCUGUGGGAUGAUUGAUUGAUUGAUGGAUUGAUUGAUUAAUUGAUUUCCUGUGGGUUCCCAGGGCAGGAAGGUGCCGGGGGGGCCGCAGAUGCUGCAGCUGAGCCUGGACGGGCGGCGGCUCUACGUGAGCACCUCCCUGUACAGCGCCUGGGACCGGCUCUUCUACCCCGAGCUGCUCAGGUCAGGGCCCACAUCAGCAAGAAUUCAUCAUUAAUCAUUAUUAAUUAUUGUUAAUAAUUAUUAAUAAUUAUUAAUAAUUAUUAUUAAUUAUUAAUAAUUGAUUAUUAAUGAGUAGUUAAGUGGUCUCGGUGCCCCCAGGGAAGGCUCAGUGCUGCUGCAGCUGGACGUGGACACGGAGCGGGGCGGCCUGGCCGUCAAUCCCAAAUUCCUGGUGGAUUUCGGGAAGGAGCCGGGCGGGCCCUGCCUGGCGCACGAGAUGCGGUACCCGGGGGGGGACUGCACCUCCGACAUCUGGCUGUGAUCCCGGGAAUCCCGGGAAUCCUGCGGGAAUUCCGGGAAUGGGGAACGGCACCUCCGACAUCUGGCUGUGAUCCCGGGAAUCCCAGGAUUUAUUUGGGAAUUCUGGAUUUGGGAAUUCACGGACUCCAACGUCCGCCUCUGAUCCCAGGAAAUUGCCGAUUUCUCCCAUUUUUUCCACCUCCUUUUCCCUCCCCAUCACUUUUUCCCUGGAGCUUGAUGCCAAAAUUCCAAUUCUGGAGCUAAAAAAUCAUUUUCUGAUAUUUCUGAUCAAAAAUCCCAAUAAAAUUCUCCUUCCAGCAGCUGAAAUUCCA
This 1368-nucleotide long non-coding RNA is filed under the name Cyanistes caeruleus (blue tit). RNAcentral's name for it is "lncRNA (ENSCCEG00000008215.1)". Lineage: Eukaryota; Metazoa; Chordata; Aves; Passeriformes; Paridae. The record is from RNAcentral.